Molecule: ribosomal RNA, 483 nt
Filed under: uncultured bacterium
Lineage: Bacteria
Description: bacterial SSU rRNA
Rfam family: Bacterial small subunit ribosomal RNA
Source: RNAcentral
GAUGAACGCUGGCGGCGUGCCUAACACAUGCAAGUCGAACGGAACUUUUAUGGAAUGAGACUUCGGUUGAAUGAAGUUUAAGUUUAGUGGCGGACGGGUGAGUAACGCGUGAGUAACCUGCCUUUCACAGGGGGAUAACGUUUGGAAACGAACGCUAAUACCGCAUAACAUAUCGUUGUCGCAUGGCAGUGAUAUCAAAGAUUUUAUCGGUGAAAGAUGGACUCGCGUCCGAUUAGAUAGUUGGUGAGGUAACGGCUCACCAAGUCGACGAUCGGUAGCCGGACUGAGAGGUUGAACGGCCACAUUGGGACUGAGACACGGGCCCAGACUCCUACGGGAGGCAGCAGUGGGGAAUAUUGCACAAUGGGCGCAAGCCUGAUGCAGCAACGCCGCGUGAGGGAUGACGGUUUCGGAUUGUAAACCUCUGUCUUUGGUGACGAAGAAGUGACGGUAGCCAAGGAGGAAGCCACGGCUAACUACGUG